Molecule: transfer RNA, 71 nt
Filed under: Gerres filamentosus (whipfin silverbiddy)
Lineage: Eukaryota; Metazoa; Chordata; Actinopteri; Gerreiformes; Gerreidae
Description: tRNA-Ile
Rfam family: tRNA
About the family: Transfer RNA (tRNA) molecules are approximately 80 nucleotides in length. Their secondary structure includes four short double-helical elements and three loops (D, anti-codon, and T loops).
Source: RNAcentral
GGGGCUGUGCCCGAAUAUUAGGGACCACUUUGAUAGAGUGACUUAUGGGGGUUUAAGUCCCCCCAACCCCU